AACGAACGCUGGCGGCGUGCCUAACACAUGCAAGUCGUGCGAGAAAGUUCCUUCGGGAGCGAGUAAAGCGGCGCACGGGUGAGUAACACGUAGGUAACCUGCCCCCCAGUCUGGAACAACUAGAGGAAACUCUAGCUAAUGCCGGAUGAGACCACGAUCCCUUCGGGGGUUGCGGCCAAAGAUGGCCUCUACUUGUAAGCUAUCGCUGAGGGAUGGGCCUGCGGGCCAUUAGCUUGUUGGUGAGGUAACGGCUCACCAAGGCUGUGAUGGCUAGCUGGUCUGAGAGGAUGACCAGCCACACUGGGACUGAGACACGGCCCAGACUCCUACGGGAGCAGCAGUGGGAAUAUUGCGCAAAUGGGCGAAAGCCUGACGCAGCGACGCCGCGUGGGUGAUGAAGGCCUGGUC
This 408-nucleotide ribosomal RNA is filed under the name uncultured bacterium. RNAcentral describes it as "bacterial SSU rRNA". It matches the Rfam family "Bacterial small subunit ribosomal RNA", at positions 29 to 424 of the family's 1533-position model. The record is from RNAcentral.